Molecule: ribosomal RNA, 326 nt
Filed under: uncultured eukaryote
Lineage: Eukaryota
Description: partial 18S ribosomal RNA
Rfam family: Eukaryotic small subunit ribosomal RNA
Source: RNAcentral
CCCUUAGAUGUUCUGGGCCGCACGCGCGCUACACUGAUGCAUUCAACGAGCUUAGCCUUGACCGAGAGGUCCGGGUAAUCUUUGAAACUGCAUCGUGAUGGGGCUAGAUUAUUGCAAUUAUUAAUCUUCAACGAGGAAUGCCUAGUAAGCGUGAUUCAUCAAAUCGCGUUGAUUACGUCCCUGCCCUUUGUACACACCGCCCGUCGCUCCUACCGAUUGAGUGUGUUGGUGAGGAUUUCGGAUUGACAACUGGAGGUGGUUCUCCGCCGCCUAUUGCUGAGAAGUUCUCCAAACCGCCCCACUUAGAGGAAGGAGAANUCGUAACA